UACGUAGGGUGCAAGCGUUGUCCGGAUUUACUGGGCGUAAAGAGCGCGCAGGCGGUCGUUCAAGUCGCGUGUGAAAGCCCCCGGCUUAACUGGGGAGGGUCACGCGAUACUGAUCGACUCGAAGGCAGGAGAGGGUAGUGGAAUUCCCGGUGUAGUGGUGAAAUGCGUAGAUAUCGGGAGGAACACCAGUGGCGAAGGCGACUACCUGGCCUGUUCUUGACGCUGAGGCGCGAAAGCUAGGGGAGCAAACGGG
RNAcentral lists this ribosomal RNA (253 nucleotides) under uncultured bacterium. RNAcentral's name for it is "partial 16S ribosomal RNA". It matches the Rfam family "Bacterial small subunit ribosomal RNA", at positions 524 to 776 of the family's 1533-position model. The record is from RNAcentral.